UGCGUAGGCGGUCCUAUAAGUCAGUGCUGAAAUAUCCCGGCUUAACCGGGAGGGUGGCAUUGAUACUGUAGGACUUGAGUAAAGUUGAGGUUGGCGGAAUUGACGGUGUAGCGGUGAAAUGCUUAGAUAUCGUCAAGAACACCUAUUGCGAAGGCAGCUAACUAAGCUUUAACUGACGCUGAGGCACGAAAGUGUGGGGAUCAAACAGGAUUAGAUACCCUGGUAGUCCACACUGUAAACGUUGAUUACUCGCUGUUGGCGAUACACAGCCAGCGGCUUAGCGCAAGCGAUAAGUAAUCCACCUGGGGAGUACGCCGGCAACGGUGAA
This 328-nucleotide ribosomal RNA is filed under the name uncultured Bacteroidota bacterium. RNAcentral describes it as "bacterial SSU rRNA". It matches the Rfam family "Bacterial small subunit ribosomal RNA", at positions 568 to 898 of the family's 1533-position model. The record is from RNAcentral. Lineage: Bacteria; Pseudomonadati; Bacteroidota.